Pan troglodytes (chimpanzee) is the source of this 309-nucleotide long non-coding RNA. RefSeq lists it as uncharacterized. The transcript has 2 exons. The record is from RefSeq and is a predicted model, not a curated record. NCBI's taxonomy places the organism in Eukaryota, Metazoa, Chordata, Mammalia, Primates, Hominidae.
GCUUAGCCACAUGGCUAAACAUGGCCAAUGAGACCUUAGCAAGUUUAACGUAAGCAGAAGUUUGGCGCGCACUAUUAUGGAUUGAGUGUUUGUUGCUCCCCAAAGCUCAUAUGUGAAGCCCUAACACUCAAGAAUACAUAACAAAUGAUAUUAUUUGUACAAGACACUGAAGUAAAAUGACCAAGGUGUUCCUAAGCCACAAGCUACAAGCACUGACCUGCUACUCCAGCCUCGCCCUCUCAAAGAGCAAAGAUGUUAAUACCCAGUCUCAGUAAUAAAGUCGGGUAAAAUUUAAACAACCAUGAGAAA